This 22194-nucleotide long non-coding RNA is filed under the name Homo sapiens (human). RNAcentral's name for it is "HSALNT0401540". The stretch from base 1457 to 1543 matches the Rfam family "ZNFX1 antisense RNA 1 conserved region 3". Lineage: Eukaryota; Metazoa; Chordata; Mammalia; Primates; Hominidae. The record is from RNAcentral.
CUUUCGCGUCUGCGGUGCCCGGAGUGUGGUACUUCUCCUAGUUGCAGUCAGGCUUCAUACGCUAUUGUCCUGCCCGUUAGAGCAGCCAGCGGGUACAGAAUGGAUUUUGGAAGAGGGAGUCACCACUGGACCUCCAAGGAAGCCACGUGCAGACAUCUACAACCUUCGAUCUCCUGACGAGUAAGUCUUUGUCUCCUAUGGGUCUACUGUAGAAAACACGUGCUUUGAGAAGCUUUAGUUUUCUAGGAAAACGUGGGAUUUAACAAAGCACUUUCUAUCGAGCAUUUAUUAGGUAUUUAAAAAAGUGUUCUGACGGCCGGGCGCUGUGGCUGACGCCUGUAACCCCAGCACUUGGGGAGGCCAAGGCAGAUGGGUCACCUGAGGUCAAGAUUUGGAGACCAGCCUGGCCAACAUGGUGAAACCCUGACUCUAUUAAAAAUACAGAAAUUAGCUGGGCGUGGUGGUACGCGCCUGUAAUCCCAGCAACUCACAAGGCUGAGGCAGGAGAAUUGCCCGAACCCGGGCGGCGGAGGUUGUAGUGAGUUGAGAUUGCGCCACUGCCCUACAGUCGGGGCAACAGAGCCAGACUCCGUCUCAAAAAAAAAAAAAAAAGAAAAACAUGUUCUGAAUGUUUUAUUCUCACAGUUCAAAUAUUGGAACUAGGUUUCUGGUGAAGAAACAGGUUUAAGAGAAAUGCCUGAAGUGAAAGAACCUUGUUAGUGAAGAGGCGUUUAACAUUUUAAUGCCACUUAAACAUAUUUUUGGAUUCCAUUCUUCCUGUGUGUUGGGGCGCUUAAAUUUCCAAGUGGAGGGAUGAUUUAUUGACAUAUUUUGGAAAGCCAAAUGUGUUUUUCUGUUGAACUAGCCACUCAAACCAGUGCCCGACUACAUAACUAAUAUUUUUGCUAGAGUCCAGGAGUGAGGCGUUUACAAAGUCUGGGCUUCAUGGGAACACAUGUGAAGCUUAUUGUUCCAGAUUGUUCUUUUGUCAGGUAACUUGUGGUAACUUGUGUUAAAAUGCAAUCUCUUGGUACUUGUUCACUUCCCAACUCAGUAAAUGCCAACUACUUCCUCAACUCUUCCAGCCACACUGGCUUCUAUCAUGGGCCUGUACUCAGAGUGUAAGCACUGAAGACAGGGGUGUUUGGUUUGGCUACCAAGUUAUUGCCAGCUACAGGAUACAACACAGAAGUGCUCAAACACCGAAUGCAAAUUUGCAAAUAUGAAGCAUACCAACCAAAUCUUACUCCUCAUGGCUUUCAAAUCUUACUCCUCACUCAAGAACUUCCUGCUGGCAUAUAUGAUGACUUAGCUUUUUUCCCCGACAGAUCGACUAUGUUGAUCUAACUUUUCUAAGCCAGUUUCUGUCUGAUAUGCCAGCUUGAGCAGCUCCUUUGUCCCAGCUCCCCUGGGCAUCUAGCUGAUGGGAGCUCAUUUUUCUGUUUUUUCAUUUCAGGUUUAUUGUUGGCCAAAACCAGGCUUUGAUUGAACCAGGAUGAAUGCGGGUGUUGGAAGUAGAAUAUAUAUAUACAUAUAAAAUUGGUAAGUGGUGCCAACACGUCUUCCCUGGCUGAGUAGACACAGGCUCUGGAGGGGGUAGUAGCUGCUUUUCAGUGUGGGUUUGUCACCCUACUUCUUGUACGACUCAAAUGUGGCCUUUGCAGCUGAUGAUACAGCUUCUUUCCCCAUCAGAUCGACCCUGUUGAUCUCUACACUAUUGGCCAGUUUUGUCUGAUGCAUUGGCCCCAGUAAUAACUCCUAUCUUUGUUUUCUGCUUAUCUUUAUCAGAGACUAUUGCUUGUUCAUGGGAACUGGGCUUUCUCUAUUUUUUCCAGCAUUCAGAUGGCUUCUUUUGACCUGUUAACUUUCUAUAGGUUGGGAGCCACGUGUACCAGUGUGUGUUGAUCUUGGCUUGAUUCAGUCUGCCUUGUAACAGGUGAGGUUUCUGCUUUCUAUCUGCCAAACCCCACCGCAAAAUUUGUCCAACUGGGCCUAACCUCAGGACCCAUUUCCAAGUUGGGUAUAAAACUGGGAGAAUAAGUCAUUAGGACUGACAUUGGCCUGUUGGUAUUACUAGGUCUUUGUUGGAAAUAAGAGCUUGGAGUUCCAAAGAAAACGAGCACUUGAACAAAAGAUUUCUCAGCAAGGCAAAUUUACUUCUGCCGUAGGGUGCUGCUGCUGGCAUUCCUGGCAAGAGCACACCUAACAAAAGAGAGAAAGGGUUUUUAUUCCUAACAAGUAGUCCCUGCUUCUGUGUCCUAUCCCCAUUGGCUGGAGUCGACAGCGCAAUCUAAACUAGUCCUGAUUGGCUAUUUUAAACAGGAGGCAUGUGGGUUACAGCUGUGGGAAGGGCAGGAAACUUGUUUACAGAGCUGGUUGCUAGGAGUGAGGGGGACUUUUCCAAAUAGGGAACAGGUUACAGGUUGAGAUUGGCCGGAGAAGUUGUUUAUAGAACGGGUAACUCGGAGCAGGAAGGUAUGAGGAAGUUGACCUUAAGAACAAAGAACAAGGAAGUUAAAACUUUGAAGAGAAAUCCAUUGUAUCUAACGAUUUCCCCCUUUUGAUUUUUAUAAUUAUUUCUCUUCAGACUUGUUUUAGCGUGUCUUGAUUUUGUUCCUCUUGGUCCUCUGAAAUUAGAAGCUUAACUGAAUGAUGCGAGGGAGGAUUGAGGAAGAUUUUGGUGGGUGAGAGCUGUUAAAAUAAGCUUUUGUAUUAAUCCUCAGAUACAGGGUAUGAUACAGCAUCCUACAAGAAUGAGCAAACCUAUUCUGAUGGCAGGAGAUUGAGGACGUAAGUCCUUUCCAUUUGCGGAACUAUUUUUCCAUUAAAAUCGUGAAGGGGUCAUUUAUUCCAGAAUUUCUAGCUAGCUCAUUGGAUAAAGCAGUAAGUCCUUGGGCCUUUGUUAUGGUUCCAUCGGGAGCAGUAUUAUUAGGGAUGAAAGUACAACACUGGGUUCCAAUCAUGACACAAACUACACCUUUCUCCGCUAGUAUCAUGUCUAAUGCUAUUGUAUUUUCUCAGGCCGUUUGACUGGUGGGCCCUAAUUGUUAAACUGUUCCCUUAAUAGCAUCCCUAGUAUAAUUAAUGAAUCGUUGCUGGGUUACAUUUUUUGUGUUUUUUUUGAGAUGGAGUCUCACUCUGUCGCCCAGGCUGGAGUGCAAUGGUGCAAUGGUUCACUGCAACUUCCACCUCCUGGGUUCAACCUACUCUCCUUCAGCCUCCUGAGUAGCUGGGGGCUGUCACCAUGUUGGUCAGGCUGGUCUCAAACUCCUGAUCUUGUGAUCCACCCGCCUCAGCCUCCUAACAUGCUGGGAUUACAGGCGUGUGCCACCACUCCCGGCCCAAUCUACAUUUUUAUUUAGAGUUGACCACCAGAACAACAUGGAUUCAAACUUGCAGCUAUUUGAUUUUGGGCCUUAAAUCUAUCUGGCACUCCUCGUGGGAUUCCAAUGGCAUCUAUAUAAACAUGAGAGUCACGAGGGACAUCCAUUGUUUUAUGAUGUUCUGUUUUUAUGUAUGUUUUCUGGAUGAAAUACCAGGGUGAAAGGGAGAUAGCCAAUUGGAUUAGAGCUCAAGUGCCACGCCAAGUAACUUGGCAGAGUAUUCAGUAAUGGUCCACCACAACACCACCAUACGUUUGCUUGGGGAUGAAUAAGGGACGACUGAUUGGUAAGCUCCUGGAAGGGCUUAAGCUCACUGCAUCUCGUUAGGUCUCCAAGCAAAUUCAAGUUCUCCCCCUGUGAGAGACACGAGGUAAAAUUGGCAUUGGAAGACGGAUGCUUGAUGGCCCUCGGGGGCUGACCCGCAGGGUGUCGGACUUCAGGGGACUUCAGGAAACAGCAGCGAGAGAGUUUGGCAUAGCUUAUUGCCCCAGGUUGUGGGGUCUUGGAAGAGAGCUGCCAUACAACUUAAUGCCUGAUCGGCUGGAGGACGAUCCGAGUGGAAAGGGAACAAUCUGGGGCUCUGGCUUACCACGUGCGUAAGCAUAACAAUCGCUUUGUUUAGCGAGCGGACAGAAUGUUUAAUCCAUUCCAGCCAUGCAUUUGCAUCUCGGUACCGUUUCAAUUGGUAGAGUUUGCUUUAGAUCUUUAACCUCUACAAUGGUCACUUUGGUUUUGUCAUUGGGUGUUUGUUUAGAAGGGGAUGAAGGGGGUGGGGGAACAAUGAAGCGCAUUUCGAAAGAUCCUGUAGGGUCUAUCCCUAAUGUUGCGGCUCCCAUGCUGUAGAAGCUACUUAAAGUGGGAUUAGGAUUGGUGGAGGUAGAGGUAAGAAUAGAAAUUUGCACUGGGUUACAUUGGUGAUAUUGGCAAUUAGAGGGGGCCUUCCCUUUGAAACGAAGGUAGGGUUGUAGAGAGAUGCAGCUUUUUGGGGAAGUCUACCCUUGAGGAUCGGUAUUCCAUAGGACGUCAUUCCGGGAUGGGCAGAACCUCUCCUCAAACCCUUCCCAUUCCCAAACUGCAAAGAAUGUAAUGGAUUUAGUUUCGAUUAGGCAAGCAUUGUGUGAGGAUUUAGAAUUUAUCUUGGAAGGGCAGAGAUAUUUUUCUGAGAAGGCCAGUUGCCUCUGGUUUUGGAGAUCCCCACAGGAUAUGACAAGACAGGCAUCAAAUGUGAUUGAGGUGAGCUUGAUCUAGUUACAUUAAUGAUAAAAUAGCUGACGGUAGAGAGAGGAAAGAAGACAAGGCAGUAUAAGAGGGUUAAAGUUUUCGUAGCUUUAGGUUGGUAGAAAUUGGCCCUGGAACAAUAGCCCAUGACUCUGAAGAUGGUGAUGCUGUUUUGACUGGGGUAUGAUGGGUCCACCCCUUUUCGGCUGUUCGGGCUGCUGUUUCAGUUAGGAGUGCUAGGUAUGGUCCUUCCCAAGCUGGCUCCUUCCAGCUUUUGAUAAGGAUGUGAUCUCCAGGCUGGUAUUGAUGUACCAGGAACUGUAAGGGUGGCAUCUGUGCUAAAAUACCUUUAGUUCUGAGGUAAGAGAAAGUGGAAAGCCAAGUAUAUAAUUUGAUCCUUUGUUUCAAAGGUAGGAAUGUCAGUAGUAAGAGUGUAAAUAAGGCAGUCCACAUAACAGAGAGAUAGGCCAGUAUCUUUCUGAGAGGCAGUCCUGACUGAAUUAGGUGAAUCUGUAAACCCUUGGGGUAGGACUCUCCAUUGGUACUGCUGCUUCCAUCCAGAAUGAGGGUUUUCCCACUCAAAAGCAAAUACUUCUCUUGUCUUCAGCCAAGGGACAUGCCCAGAAGGCAUCUUUUAAAUCUGUUACUCUGAACCAUUGAUUGUCAUGGAAUUCUGCUGAGGAUGGUAAAAGGAUUGGGGACAACAGGGUGGGUAGUCUGGACUAUUUGGUUGAUAGCCUGGAGAUCUUGUACUAGUUGAUGAGACCUGUCUGAUUUCUUUACAGGUAAUACUGGGGUGUUAAUAGGGGGACAUACAGGGUUCAGGGAAUCAGUCCUGAAUGAGAACUUCAACUACAGGCUUUAAUUCUAUUCUGCCCUCUAGGGGAAUGGGAUAUUACCUUUUUCUUACUAUUUCCCCUGGGGUCUUUAACUUUGUAUGGAUUGGAGUGACUUGAAGUUUCUUUUUUUCUUUCUUUUUUUUUUUUGAGUUGGAGUCUCUGUCACCCAAGCUGGAGUGCAAUGGUGUGAUCUUAAGCCACUGCAACCUUUGCCUCCUGGGUUCAAACAAUUCUCCUGCCUCGGCCUCCUGAGUAGCUGGGAUUACAGGCGCCUGCCACUGCACCCAGCUAAUUUUUGUAUUUUUAGUAGAGAUGGGGUUUCACCAUGUUGGCCAGGCUGGUCUCAAACUCCUGACCUCGUGAUCCACCCACCUUGGCCUCCCAAAGUGCUGGUAUUUCAAGUGUGAGCCAGCAAGCCCAGCCUCCCUGAUUUCUUUUUCCUGCCCAUACAUGAGGAUGAAUGUAUUUUUCUUCUGCGGUGGUAAGUCUCUUCCUAAUAAGUUCGUUCCUGCCUCAGGGAUUAACAGGAAUUUAACAUGGGCUGAUCAAUUUUUGUAUAGACCUCUGUCUUUUAAGAUUUUUGCUUUAAAUCUUUUAUCCCUGAGAUAGAAAGUUCUUCUGAAGAACAGGUGAUAGAUACCAGAUGGGAGGGAACGGGAGCGAGCUGCUGCUGAAUCUGUAAGAAGGUUUUAAGUUCACAUUUGGGUCCCACCUCUAAAUUUAUCAGGGGCUCUUGGUGGGACUCAAGGUAAAAGAGACAGCCCCUGACCUCCCUAUUUUCCUGGAAGGCCAUAAGUGGAAUAUUUUUUCUUUUUCCCAUUUGGGGCAUUCUCUUUUGAAGUGACCUACUCUUCCACAUUUGAAACAUUUGUUUUCCCCUCUUCCCUGUCCUGCACUGUGACUUCCAGGUUUUAUUCCCUUACUCCUUGUAUACAGUUUGGUCGCUGGUGGCCUAGAGGGUUUGUAAGUUUUACUUCCUUGUGUCUCCUACUGCAGAGUUCUCUGUUGUAAGGUAGACAGCAUGAUUUUUGCCUUUUGUUUCUGCUGCUCUUUGUCCCUACUUAUAUGCUUCUCUAAGAAGUUAGUCUCUGGGACAAUCUUUCCAAUUCUCUAUCUUUUGUAGUUGUUUUUAGAGGUGUUUGGCCAAGUCUUAGUAACAAAAUGAAGCUUUAGCAUCCCUUGCCCCAGUGGGUCUUCCAUUUCUAAACCUGCAUAUUUUCUCAUCUGUUCUUUAAGCCUAUUUAGGAAUUCAUGGGUCCUUCAUCCAUCCCUUGUAUGUUGAAUGCUUGGGAAAUACUCUCAGUUCGGGAUACUGAUGGAACAUUUUGACCGGUAGGGUGUUAAUGUUCCCAGACUACCAAAGCAGCCCUAUGGAUCAUGGUUCUUCUCCCAAGAAGGGAAUGCCUAAAAUGGACAUAAGCUCGGCCCAUACAACUGGGGUCCUAAAAAAUGAUUUGAUCUGCUACCCCAUAAGGGUCAUCUAACAAGGGCUUGAGUUUUUCUUUUUUUUUAGAUUUUGUACUUCUGAGCUGGUUAAGGGGGCAUUUACGAAGCUGAUGCCUCCUCUCCCAAGGGGCACUUCUUCAAGGGGAAGAGAGUUGGGGGCAAUUCUUUGGAGGUGGAAAGGGGAAAGGGAAGUUCUGAGUAUCCUUUUUACAUUGUUCUAUUUCAUGCUGUAGGGCUUAAGUGUGUGGCUAGGGGGAACAUGGGGUAUUGAUUCAGGAUUAUAUGGGGGAGGGACUGAUGAGUGGGGGGAUCCUGUGUACCGGCUUGAUGCAUGGGGUUUGGCAGAGGCAAGUGGUCUGGUGGGUCCCAUAUGUUAGCAGGCUGUUCGGGGGUAGAGACCUUACUCCUUUCAGAGGAGUUGGCUUCUGGCUUGCUUCCUGUAGUUAUGUUUAGUCCUUUCACUAUCCUUUUAGCAUGAGAACCUAGGGGACUGUCAGAGGGGAUGUUACUGUCAUUAAUUUGAUCCUUUCUAUUUACUGUCUUUCUUGAGGUAUUUUGCAUAAUGAAGGUUUGGUGUGAGGCCCAAAAUUAGAUUUAUUGCCUUUCCUCAUAGGCUCAACCUCCCUUACUGGAGAUUUCUUGCCAUUCCUUUCUCUAGAGGGUCAGCCCCUGGCUACUGGAGAUUUCUUGCACUCUUCUCCUUUUGCUUCAUCCUUCUCUGGCUGCUUCCCAGGAGGGAAUAUUUCAGGUCCUCCUUAGCAUUGGUGUGUCAGUAUAAGCCCCAUGACAGGAAUCCACCAUAAGCUAUACGAGGUGACCAUGGAAUCACAGAUCCGGAAUCAUCGCUCGCUUCGCACUCAGUUGUGCGUCUCAUUGACACACUUUCAACCUCUAAAAUGCCCUGACCACCAAGGAAAUACUUUGUCGCCCCUGUGACUUUUCUUAACUUGGUCUGUGCAGUUACCUGGUCACCGCAGUAUGUGAGGAUCCUUUCCGCCUGUGUUGCUGAGAGUCUGGGUUUAUGUGUCACCUUGGGUGGGACCCAAUCUCCUGUUUGUGAGGCCACCGCAAAGAGGUGGUGGGAUGCCUCUCCUCAAGAGAGGUGAUCGUGGGCUUCUCCUGAAGGAGAACGGUAAUCCCAGAUGAGCUCCCAAAUUGUUGGCAAUAAGAGCUCAGAGUUGCAAAGAAAAUGAUCUCCAAAAGAUUUCUCAGCAAGGCAGAUUUACUUCUGCAGAAUGGUGCUGCUUGCACUCCUGGUCACAGUGAGAGCACCCCGAACAAAGGAGGUGAAGUGGUUUUUAUCCCUAACACAGCUAGUUCCUGCUUCUGUGUUCUAUCCCCAUUGGCUAGAGUCCAAUCUAAACUAGUCCUGAUUGGCUAUUUUAAACAGGAGGGGUGUGGGUUACAGCAGUGGGAAGAGCAGUUGCCACGAGCGAGGGAGACUUUUCCAGAUAAGGAACAAAUGCGGGUUACAGGUUGGGAUUGGUGGGAGAAAUGUUUACAGAAUGGGUAAUUAGGAGUGGGAAGGUAUGAGGAAGUUGACCUUAAGAACAAAGAACAAGGAAGUUAAACUUUGAAGAGAAACCCAUCAUACCUAACAGUCUUGUAAGAAAGGAUGACAAAGUGAUUGAACAUUGGGUGGAGCUAAUUUUCCUUGGCCAAUUCACUUAGUAAGAUAAGGAGCUCCAAAUCAUAUUUAAGUUGGGAGUCAAUUGAUUUUACUUAAUUCUUGUGAGGUUCAGUUAUAAGAUUCAUCAUACUACUACCAUGAGCCAUCCUCAGCUCCUUGUUACAUGGGCCUGUUAACAUGGCAGCUUUGUCUAUAAGCAAACCCAGGAGAGAAAGACAUAGCAGAGAUGGAUGUUUGAAGUCUAUACCUUCCACCCCCUUUAAAGAGAAAGUAACACCACUCCUUUUCUGUGUCCCUUGGGGACACUACCUCCAUGUCUGGUCACAUGGCUGGACUUUACAGCAGAUAAGCAUACUGUGGCCUGAGACCAUGAUUGUAUGCUUUCCUUCUGCUGACCUUUACAAUCCCUCAAUAAAUUGAGCUAACACAGGGAAGCUUUUUUACCAAAUAACUGUGUUGCAUCAUCCUCCAGUUUGCCUGGUGUCCUUAAUCAAUGGAAGGGGAAUAAGCAAACUGAGUUUUCUUACACCUUUUGAGUAUAGUGUUUUUGCCAUCAUAGAUGUGGCUCCUCAUAAUUCUCCAACUUUUAUAUUAAAAAACCAAAACCUCAAAAAUUGUAGUUCAUGUCAGUCAGUGAUGACUCAUCUUAGAAGUAUUUUGUUUUUGGAUGUGUGAAUGUGCAUAGUUCUUAAAGUCCAACAUUCAUGUAAUAAGACAUCUUGCAUAUAACAAUGACCCUUACGUCUAAGAUGUUAAAUAGAUCCUAAGCCUGGUAUAACUUUAUUCAAGUAUCCUUAUUUGCCCCUAAAAUGUCUUUAAUACACAUUACUUGGGUUAUUUCUUGAAUGAACAUACAGGUAUCCCAAUUUCUGUUUUUAAGAGAAUGGGGUCUUGCUCUGUCACCCAGGCUGGAGUGCAGUGGUGCAGUCAUGGCUUACUGCAUCCAUGAUCCUCCUGCCUCAGCCUCCCAAGUAGAUGGGACUGAAAGCACACACUGCCAUCCCUGGCUAAUGUUUUCAUAUUUUGUAGAGUUGCAGCCUUGCUACGUGACCCAGGCUGGAGUGUAGUAGCUAUUCACAGGCAUGAUUGCUUGAAACUCAUGGCUUCAAGGGAAACUCCCACCCUCAAUAUCCUCAGUAGCUGCAACUACAGCCAUACCCCCCACUGCUCAGCUUCUCAUCCUUUAAAAGAUUUUUACUGGUAGUGUCCUCAUUCUGGGUUUUUGUCUUCUGUGUUUACUGUGACAUGAAGUCAUUUUUAGAUGAAGGUUAAACAUUUUGCCAACGCAGGUACAAUAUGGGAUUCAAUAAAAGUACAGAAUUAAAGUUGUCUUAUUAGAGAUUGGGAAGUUUCCCAGCUCCGUUUAUCGGUACUUGGCCGUACCGAUAAAGGGGAUGGACUUGGAGUGACCAGGUCUUAGUCACAUGUAUUUUCAUACCCUAAACAAGAAGCGGUAUAGACCAGAAUGGAGCACUGAUUGUAAUCCACCUUCUUUCUUAGAAACUGGCGAUGGAAUAUGAGAGGAGCCCUCUGGAAAGAAAAGGACAGACCCUGUGCUUUCAUGAAAGUGAAGAUCUGGCUGAACCAGUUCCACAAGGUUACUGUAUACAUAGCCUGAGUUUAAAAGGCUGUGCCCACUUCAAGAAUGUCAUUGUUAGACUUUGAAAUUUCUAACUGCCUACCUGCAUAAAGAAAAUAAAAUCUUUUAAAUCAAAAUGCUGUUUUGUUUGGCCAUUGGAGAUAACCAUUGAACAGGGAUAACAAGUAGUAGUUAGGUAUUUGCAGUUUCAUUUGGUUUUAGUUUUUUGAGGGGAGAAUCACCCUAGUGGGCAGUUGGUUUCUGUGGGCAAAGCCUGCUUUCCACAGGUAUUGUGCCUCGUGAUUGGCUUCUGCAUUGGAAACCUAAGAAUAAGCAAGCACACUUGGGCCAGAAUUCAAAGCAGAGGGUCAAUACAGAGGUAUCUCACUUGUAUGCUUACACCUGCACAAGAUCGUGUAUGUUAAAUCGUGGGUAUUAGGCCUUAAUGGUUGCAUGAGAUGAGUAAGGAUGAUGUGGGCUAUGGUAUUUGUUUAUAAACUUCAUAGGAAAUUGCAAAAAUAGGCUGCAUCAUUUAUCAAUAUGUGAUGAUUUUUUAUUUAAAAUACACAGUGAAUAAUUUUUUAAGUAUCUUAAAAUCUCACCUCAAAGAUGGGACCUCUAGAUUUCUUUUUUUUUUCUGAGGCAGAGUCUCGCUGUGUCACCCAGGCUGGAGUGCAGUGGCAUGAUCUCAGCUCACUGCGAGCUCUGCUUCCUGGGUUCACAUUCUCCUGCCUCAGCCUCCCAAGUAGCUGGGACUACAGGUGCCCGUCACCACGCCCGGCUAAUUUUUUGUAUUUUUAGUAGAGACGGGUUUUCGCUGUUUUAGCCAGGAUGGUCUUGAUCUCCUGACCUUGUGAUCUGCCCACUUCGGCCUCCCAAAGUGCUGGGAUAACAGGCAUGAGCCACUGCGCCCAGCCUGGGACCUCUAGAUUUCUAAAAUGACUCCUGGUAUUGACUCAGAAUCCCCUCCCCUUGACUAGGCUGGACCUAGUGUAACUUCUGAGACUUGCUAGCUCUUUUUCUCAUUCUCCUUGGCUUGCUCACUUUUUUUUUUUUUUUUUGAGAUCUCAGCUCACUGCAACCUCCGUCCCCUGGGUUUAAGCAAAUUCUCCUGCCUCACCCUCCCGAGUAGCUUGGAUUACCACGCCUGGCUAAUUUUUGUAUAUUUAGUAGAGGGGGUUCACCAUGUUGGCCAGGCUGGUCUUGAACUCCUGACCUCAAGUGAUCUGCCUGCGUCAAGCCUCCCAAAGUGUUGGAAUUACAGGCGUGAGCCACCACGCCUGGCCUAGCUUGCUCACUUUUAAUUAAGCUGCCAUGUUGGGAGAGGCCAGCGUAGCAAUCAACUGAGGUUGAACCAUUAGUGUGGGAGGAGUUACCCAACAACCAUGUGAGUUUGUAAGCACGUCUUUCUGUAGCGGAGGCUUGUGAGAAACCCUGAGAGCGGACCCACCCAGAUUGUGCUUGGAUUUCUGACCUAUGGGAAAUGUAUUUCAAGCCACUAGGUUUUGAGAUAACUUGCUACAAAGCAGUAAAUUCACAACUCUAUAAUGCCCACUCUAAAGGUCCUGACAUGGGCAUCUCCAUUACCUAAGUCAACUGAUGCUACUUCAAUUUCUCCACGUAGCAUUUGAAGCGUUUAUGUCUGGCCCCAGCCUACAUUUUCAGACUUAUUUGUGCAUUUGACUUAACAUGUCCAAAACUAAAUGCCUGAUGCUUCACUCACCUAACCCCAUUCCCUGCAAGUCUGUGCUUCCUGCGAUCUUCCCUUCCCAGGUAUUGGCAACACCAGAAGUCCAGUUGGUCAGGAGCUGUGGAAUCAACCUCAUGUACCAUGUGAAUCCCUUGGCAAAUGCUAUUGGUUCUACCUUCAAAAUACAUCUGAAACCCACCCCCUCUUAGCGUCUUCAUUGCUACCACCUUGGUACAAACCAUCAAACAAGCUUGGAAUACUGGUCUCUACUUCAGCCUUUGCUCCCUACGAUCAAUUGAGAUGCAACCAGAGCGAUCUGUGAAAACCUGAAUUAGGUAUGGAGCUCUCUGCUCAGAAGCCUCCAGUGUCUUCCCCACCUCACACAGUAAAAGCCAAAGUCCAUCAGGGCCUACAUGAUCUUCCCCUUCCCUUAACCUCUAACUUCAUCUCUUCCCUUUCAAUCUUAGCCACAUGGGCCCCCUGACUUCUCCAUUCCUUUAGGAUUACUCCAACCUCAGUAUCUUAGCACUUGAUUUUCCCACUGCCUGGAAUGAUCAGCCCUAGACCCCCAGAGCUUUGCACAGCCCUCUGCCUUGUGUCAUUCAGGUAUUUGCUCUCACUCCCUCUGGGGAACUGUCUAAUCAUCUCUAUCACUUUCUAUUCCCUUAUCUUGUUUUUUAUUUUUUUAAAUAGAAACUGUUGCUCAGGCGGGUCUCAAACUCCUGGGCUUAAGGGAUCCUCCCUAUUUGGCCUCCCAAAGUGCUAGAAUUACAGGCAUGAGCCACCAUGCCUGGCCAUGUUUUUACUUAGUGCCUAACAGGUACUGCCUAUGUGUAUAGUAUAUACAUGCAUGUACAUAUACAUCUAUGUAUAUGUGUAUAUAUAGUUUGUCAUACAGCUGUUAAGUGGCAGAGCAUGCAUUUGAUUCUGUCAGUCUGCUCUUGUAUUUGUGGGGUGUUUGUUUUGUUUUUUGAGACGGAGUCUUGCUGUGUCCCCCAGGCUGGAGUGCAAUCUCAGCUCCCUAUAACCUUCGCCUCUUGGGUUCAAGGGAUUCUCCUGUUUCAGCCUCCUGAGUAGCUGGGAUUACAGAAGCCUGCACGGUGCCCCUUAAUUUUUGUAUUUUUAGUAGAGGUGGGGUUUCACCAUGUUGGCCAGACUGGUCUCGAACUCCUGACCUCAAGUGAUCCACCUGCCUAGGCCUCCCAAAGUGCUGGGAUUACAGGCAUGACCCACGUGCCUGGCCUGGCACUUGUAUUUGUAACCCUUGGCUUAAUUGCAACAUGUUACUUCAAUGCAGUCUAAUGGAUACAGGAAGGAGAUAAUUUCUGGCUCUUAAAAGCUCAAAUGCUUUUGCUGGACUUCUGUGUUGAUGAGAUACCACUGAGGUCAGAAAUGGCCCCAAAUACCUGCCAGCCAGGGGCCAGAGAAGCUUCCUGGAGAACUCCCAGCCACACCCAUAGUCUCAGCUUUGCUGUUGCUUCUCUGAGCUCCAAGGCAGUUGUAGGCCUCUAAUGAUCAAACUAUUGGCAACCCGUCUCUAGCUUUAGCUCCUACCAGUCCCACCAAACAUUUGAUGCUUCAGUCUCGUUUUACCUCUUUGUCUUAUUGACUGAGGAGUCCUUUCCUUCUAUAAGCUUCAGUUUCCUCAUCUGUGAAAUGAGGUUUAUUGGGUGCUUGCCACGUGCCAAUAUUGUGCUAUUAUCUCAUUUAAUCUAUACCCCAACUCUGUUAUUACCCUAUUUUAUAGAUAGCAAAACAGGCUCAGGGAGGUUUGGUGAGUUCAUGUACCUUGAAGGUGGUUCUUGAAAGCUGGGAUGUGAACCAGUACUAUCCUAGGCCCCUAAUUUCCAAGGGCCUUUGCUUAAGACCCUCACCAACUGCAUGGGUAAAAGCACAAGCAUGGCCAGGCGCGGUGGCUCACGCCUGUAAUCCCAGCACUUUGGGAGGCCGAGCCGGGCAGAUCACAAGGUCAAGAGAUUGAGACCAUCCUGGCCAACAUGGUGAAAACCCGUCUCUACUAAAAAUACAAAAAUUGGCUGGGCGUGGUGGCCCGUGCCUGUAGUCCCAGCUACUUGGCAGGCUGAGGCAGGAGAAUCACUUGAACCCUGGAGGUGGAGGUUACAGUGAGCCGAGAUUGCACCACUGCACUACACCUUGACAAUGGAGUGAGACUCCAUCUCAAAAUAAAAACAAAACAAAAACAAAGAAAAACCCACACAAGCAUUUCUGGAAAGCUGUGGGAAAAAAUAAGAGAUUCACAAUGUCUUCCAGAAUUUUAGCUGAGAGGUGGUGGUAUUAUCUCCCCCAUACCCCACUACUCAUUUUCUGGGAACAGAGCAGUUUUACAAAUGGUUUGGAGCUUGGGCUUAUUCCCAGCUCCUGGCAGACAGCAGUAACUUCCCCAGAUCUCCUAUCUGUAAAGUGGGCAUAACAUGUCUUUCCUCCUGGAGUUACUGUGAGGAUCAAGUGAGACAAUGUGUCCUCUAAAUGCUUGACCACAGGGUUAGGUCAGUAAUUGUUGCGGGAAGUCAGGGACCCCAAACGGAGGGACCGCCUGAAGCCAUGACAGAAGAACGUGGAUUGUGAAGAUUUUAUGGACAUUUAUUAGUUCUCCAAGUUAAUACUUUUGUAAUUUCUUACGCCUGUCUUUACUGCAAUCUCUAAACGUAAAUUGUAAAGAUUUCAUGGACUUCCCCAAUCAAUACCCUUGUGAUUUCCUAUGCCUGUCUUUACUUUAAUCUCUUAAUCCUGUCAGUUGAGGAGGAUGUAUAUCGUUCCAGGACCCUGUAAUAAUUGCGUUAACUACAAAAAUUGUACAGCAUGUGUGUUUGAGCAAUAUGAAAUGUGGGCAUCCUGAAAAAAGAACAGGAUAACAGCAAUUGUUCAGGGAAUAAGAGAGAUAACCUUAAACUCUGACUGCUGGUGAGCCGCGCAGAACAGUCAUAUUUCUCUUCUUUCAAAAGCAAAUGGGAGAAAUAUCGCUGAAUUCUUUUUCUCAGCAUGGAACAUCCCUGAGAAAGAGAAUGUGCACCUAGGGAUAGGUAUCUGAACUGGCCCCACCGGGGCGUACCUGUCUCUUAUGGUCGAGAUUGCAGAGGUGAAAUAAACUCCGGUCUCCCAUAGCGCUCCCAGGCUUAUUAGGAAGAGGAAAUUCCUGCCUAAUAAAUUUUGGUUGAUCUCAAAACCCUGUCUCCUGAUAAGAUGUUAUCAAUGACAAUGGUGCCCGAAACUUCAUUAGCAAUUUUAAUUUCGCCUCGGUCCUGUGGUCCUGUGAUCUCGCCCUGCCUCCACUUGCCUUGUGAUAUUCUAUUACCCUGUUAAGUACUUGAUGUCUGUCACCCACGCCUAUUCACACACUCCCUCCCCUUUUGAAAAUCCCUAACAAAAACUUGGCUGGUUUUUGUGGCUUGUGGGGCAUCACGGAUCCUACCAACGUGUGAUAUCACCCCCGGACGCCCAGCUUUAAAAUUUCUCUCUUUUGUACUCUGUCCCUUUAUUUCUCAAGCCAGCUGAUGCUUAGGAAAAUAGAAAAGAACCUACGUGAUUAUCAGGGCAGGUCCCCCGAUAAGUAAUAGUCAUCUUCAUCCGAGUGAAAAGGAAUAAACUAGUGAUUGUGCAACAACUUGGAUGAACCCCAGAGAUGCGAUGCUGACUGAGGGAAGCCAGCCUCAAAUGGUUACAUGCUGUGUGAUUCCAUUUAUUUGACAUUCUGGAAAAGACAAAGGUAUGAUGAAGGGAAGAGAUGAUGGUGUUGCCAGAAGUUAGGAUGGGUGGCGGAUGUGGAUGUAAAGGGAUCGCACAAGGAAGUGUUUGGGGUGUCAUGAUUGCCGUAGUGGUUAUAUGAAUGUACUGGGCCAGGCAUGGUGGCUCACGCCUGUAAUCCCAGCACUUUGGGAGGCCCAGGUGGGUGGAUCACCUGAGGUUAGGAAUUUGAGACCACCCCGGCCAACAUCGUGAAACCCCAUCUCUCCAUCUCUACUAAAAAUACAAAAAUUAGCUAGGCGUGGUGGCGCGUGCCUGUAAUCCCAGCUACUUGGGAGGCUGAGGCAGGAGAAUCACUUGAACCUGGAAGGUGGAGGCUGCAGUGAGCUGAGAUCGCACCAUUGCACUCCAGCCUGGGCAAUAGAGUGAGACUCCGUCUCGAAACAAAACAAAAACCCAGAUUUAUAGAACUGUACAGCAAAAUAAAAAAAUAGUUUUAUUGUAUGACAAUUUUUUUAUUAUUUAUUUUUGAGACAGGGUCUUGCUCUGUCACCCAGGCUGGAGUGCAAUGGUGCGAUCUUAGCUCACUGCAGCCUCCACCUUCCGGGUUCAAGCAAUCCUCCCACCUCAGCCUCCUGAGUAGCUGUGACUACAGGUGCGUGCUACCACACUCAGCUAAUUUUUAAAUUUUUUUAGAGAUAGGGGUCUCACUAUGUUGCUGGAGUUGAUCUCAAACUCCUGGUCUCAAGUGAUCCUCCUGCCUCACCCUCCGAAAGUGCUUUUUAAAAAUGUUAAAAACAAACAUAGGCUCUGGAGCUAGACUUGGGUUUAAAUCCCGGCUCUGUUAUGUAUUAGCCAUUGGCUCAAUCUUCUUUUUCUUUUCCUAGAUUUUGCCUGCCUGAGCUCCUCUAGUAGUGGCCACAAUUGCCAGAGAAGAUAGAGCAGGUCUCUCCCAGGACUUGCAGCUCCAGCCUGUGUCUGCAAGGGGUGUUGUAGCGACUGAUUUCUCCAGCCCAUGGCAAGAGGCCUUCAUCUUGUGCCUGGAAAGAGGGAAGUACAAGUCCGUCUGGCAGAGAUGGUGCAGAUGGGCAAGUUUUUCAGACACUGCAGCCAGCACUUCUGGGACCGCAGCAGUGGAGCCUGCAGAGGGCCGGUUCUCCAGGCAUGGGCUACUGACAUUGUCACUUCCAGACUCCUUAUGCAAUAAACAACCCCUAAACAGAUUUAUUCACAAUUUCUCCAUCCUAACAAGUCAGUGAUCAGUUUUCACUUUUCCACAUUCCCUUCUGUCCCCAUUAUGUUCCCAUAGUGGGGCAGCUUCUACCUGCAUGGUUGGAGCUUCCCAUUUUUAAAGAGGCAAGAAAUCCUUUAAAGUUCUUUGAAAUGUUUGUAGCCUGUUCCAAUUUUAUAAACUGUGAAGACUGAGCAACACACAAUGCAUGGGCCUCAUAUGGCCUGGAGGCCACCAGUUGGAGACCUCUGUAGCUUGAGCUGUGUCCCUUUCAGCACUGUUCUUGUCAUUCCUGAGCUGGGAUGCCCCCUGAAACAUAGGAUGCUCAGUUAAAUUUGAAUUUCUUUUUUUUUUUCCUUGAAAUGGAGUGUCGCUCUGUCGCCAGGCUGGAGUGCUGUGGCGUGAUCUCAGCUCACUGCAACCUCCACCUCCCUAGUUCAAGUGAUUCUCCUGCCUCAGCCUCCCGAGUAGCUGGGAUUACAGGCAUGCACCACCACACCCAGCUAAUUUUUGUAUUUUUAGUAGAGACAGAGUUUCACCAUGUUGGCCAGGAUGGUCUUGAUCUCCUAACCUCAUGAUCUGCCCGCCUCGGCCUCCCAAAGUGCUGUGAUUACAGGUGUGAACCACUGCGCCCGGCCGAUGGCAAUCAUUCUUUAAGAUGCAGCCUCCGUGGACCUCGUACCUUCUCAGUAAUUUCCAUAUUCUUUGCUGACUUGGGUUUUUCCUCCAAAAUUGUCUGGGAUAAAUUGAGGUUUGUGGAGUUUCCUGAUGGCUAGUUUCCAAACUGGCUUCAAAGCCUGGGCUUGUGGAAUUGGCUGGGUCUGCGGCCAGCCUAACCCAUCCUUCGGUCACAGUCUCCCAUGGUCCUGAUAUUAAUUCAUCACAGGUCUGUUUAGAAGGUGGCAGAAACAGACGGUCUUGGGCUUAUUUAUAUCUGUGGCUUUUUUUAAAAGACAGAAAAGGAGAAAUCUGGAUCCUUUCCUUGUCAGCCUCCUUUAACUAAAUGGUCUUUUGCUAAAAUAGACUGGCCCCACUGUGUGGGUAGGAAGGGUUGAGAUGGGAGUGGGCCAAGUGAGUGAGAACUUUUUUUUUUUGCCUUGAUGUUAAAAUGGCAGCAUGUGCAGUCUUCUGCCUCUGCCCAGGUUGACCUGAUGUUUUUACAGGGAGAGAGGCUGCUUGUUGAGUGUGGUGGUAUUUAUCAUAGUGUAUGUUAGGCUGCCUCAAACAUCCCUCGCUGUCGUACCUUUCAGCCAACUCUAAUGUACCUCUCUCAGCCUGAUUUCUCCCCACUUGAGUUAUAAUAACAACAACUGCCUUUUAAAAAAUUUCCUACUGGGCUUCAUGCUAGGUACUUUCCACGUUUUAUUUUUAUUUAUUUAUUUUUUGAGACAGAGUCUCACUCUGUCACCCACGCUGGAGUGCAGUGGUGUGAUCGCAGCUCACUGCAGCCUCAAACUCCUGGGCUCAAGCGAGCCUCCUGCCUCAGCCUCCCGAAUAGCUGGGACUACAGGUUUGUGCUACUGUGCCCGGCUAAUUUUUCUAUUUUUUUGUAGAGACAGUGUCUCCCUUUGUUUCCCAGGCUGAUCUCUCCUGGGCUCAAGCGAUCCUCCUGCCUCAACCUCCCAAAGUAUUGGGAUUACUGGUGUGAGCCACCAUUAUAUGUUUUAAAUAAUUUAUUCCUCACCUCAAGUGAGUGAGGUAACAUCCCAGUUUUACAGACAAGGAAACAGAUUGGGCAGGGGAAGUGACUUGCCUCAGAUGCACAAUAAAUGGCUCUGCCAGUGUCUUCCUUAGCGCCUCCGAUCCCCUUCUCACCCUUGUCCUCUCUGCUCCUCUCUGCUCAAUGCUCCUGGGAGCGUGAACUGCAUUAAUGGCUCCUUGUCUGGUGGCCUCAAGGUUCCCCAGGAGGCAGGGAGGGUGAGGCUGAGAUGUGUGCUCCCCUAAGGCACAUGCCUCAGCCUGGCUGCCUCUGUCUAAGGCCACAGCCCCUCAAGUGCUUCCCCACCUGACUUUCUGGGCUCUGGUAACCGCUUCCUGCCUGCCCCAUCAGGUGUAGGGGGUGCUUCAUGGGUCAACAUUAGCUUAUGUGGUUUCCUUAUAUCCUGGGCGCACCUUUGUUAGUCUCAAAUUACAUUCUGCUUGAACUAUUCUCUAUCCAGUGGGUUGUGACUAUCUAGAGGCAGAGUUGGGAUUUGAACCCCAAGACUUCAAAAUAAGCUCUGUGCAAAUGGCCUCCCAGAGCUGCCUGCUGGUUUCUUCUGCGAGGCCUGGCUUCUCCAUUUUGGCUUGGACCAUGGCCUGCUGUCAUUUCCACAACAGUUGCAGGAAGUUGCCAAAUGCGUUUUCUGUGACUGCCAGGCUGGUGACCCUGUUAAAAACAAAGCAACAACAAAAAAAGCAAUUUCUUCAAUUAAAAUUACAAAACAGAAAAAAAAAAAGAUGUCACACUUGGGGGAAGCUGGUUGAAGUGUACUUGAUAUUCUACAUACUAUUUUCGCAGUUCUCUGUGAAUCAAUAGUUAUUUCCAAAUAAAAUGUUAAAAAAAACUUUAUUACUAAAUCAGAAAAAAACAACAACAAACAACAACAAAAACCAAAGCAGAAUAUGUGGUGCACUGUUGAGGGAAGUACAGAAGGAUAAAAACAAGAAAAUACUGACACAACUCAGACUCCACUGUUGAACCUUAUUUUAUUUUAUAUACUUCUAGGUCUUUUUUUUUUUUUUUUUUGAGAAGAGUCUCAGCUCACUGCAACCUCUGCCUCCCAGGUUCAAGCGAUUCUCCUGCCUCAGCCUCCCGAGUAGCUGGGAUUACAGGUGCCUGCCACCAUGCCUGGCUAAUUUUUGUAUUUUUAGUAGAGACGGGGUUUCACCAUGUUGUGCAGGCUGGUCUCGAACUCCUGAUUCAGGUGAUUCGCCCGCCUCGGCCUCCCAAAGUGCUGGGAUUACAGGUGUGAGCCACUGCGUCAGGCCACUUCUAGGUCUUUUUCUACAUGUUUAUAUAUACACUGUAUGUAUUCUUUACCAAAGUGGGAUCAUACCAUAAUGCUGUUUUUUUUUUGUUUUGUUUUGUUUUUUGUUUUUGUUUUUAAGACAGUCUUACUCUGUUUCCCAGGCUGGAAUGCAGUGGUGUGAUCUCGGCUCACUGCAAUCUCUGCCUCCCAGGUUCAAGUGAUUCUCCUGCCUCAGCCUCCCGAGUAGUUGGGACUACAGGUGCCCACCACCACGCCCAGCUAAUUUUUGUAUUUUUGGUAGGGACGGGGUUUUGCUGUGUUGGCCACACUGGUCUCGAAUUCCCAACCUCAUGUGAUCCACCUGCCUUGGCCUCCCAAAGUGCUGGGAUUCUAGGUGUAAGCCACCACGCCCGGCCUAUAGUGCUGUUUUGUAACCUCUGUCAGUUAACCAUCUCCAUUUUUUCACAUCAAUAAAUUUCCCAUUUGUCCACAAAAGUCCUGUACAGCUGGCAGAGGAUAUGUGUGACUGGAGGCCAUUAGGUCCUUCAGGUUCUUCCAGCCUAGCACCACCCUUUCUUCCCCUUUACCAUAGGGGCUUGUCCUAGAGAACGUCUCACCUUCUGGAUUCAUCUGAGUGUUGCCUUCUGGGGGUGUCACUUCAUUUGUUCCUCUGUAUCCUGCAUCCCCUGUAAAUUGGAGAGUCAAUCUAAAGUUUUGAUAAGAUCAAGUUAAAUAUUUUGGCAAGAAAGCGUCAUACAUGAUGAUGCUGGGCACAUCAGGUGACAUCACAUUUUAUAUUUAAUGGACAAAUAAAAGUUGUAUAUAUUUACUGUGUACAACACGAUGUUUUGGAAUAUGUAUAUGUUGUGGAAUGGCUAAAUCAAGCUAAUUAAAAUAUGCAUUACUUCACUUUUUUUUUUUUUAAGAGACAGAGUUUUGCUCUCGUUACCCAGGCUGGAGUACAGUGGCAUGAUCUCGGCUCACUGCAUCCUCUGCCUCCAGGGUUCAAGCGAUUCUUCUGCUUCAGCCUCCCAAGUAGGUGGGAUUACAUCUGCCACCAUGCCCGGUUAAUUUUUUGUAUUUAGUAGAGACGGGUUUCACCAUUUUGCUCAGGCUGGUCUCAAACUCCUGACUUCAGGUGAUCUGCCCCCCUCGGCCUCCCAAAGUGCUGUGAUUGCAGGCAUGAUACUUCACUUAUUUUUUGUGAUAAGAACACAAAAUCUCUUGAGCAAUUUUUAAGUACACAGUAUAUUCUUAUUGACUAUAGUCACCAUGAUGUACAAUAGAGCUCUUGAAGUUAUUCCUCUUGUUUAACUGGAAAUUUGUACCCUUUGAUCAAUAUCUCCUGAAAACAAUUUUCUCUGCUUCUCUCUUAUGACUUUGACUUAUAUGUGUAGAUGCCACAUAGAAGUGAUAUCUUCCAGCCUGGGCAACAGAGUGAGAUUCUGGUUUUGUUUGUUUGUUUCUUUUUUUUUUUUGGAGACAGUCUCACUCUGUGGCCCAGGAUGAUCUCGGCUCACUGCAAUUCUGCCUCCUGGGCUCAGGUGGUCCUCCCACUUCAGCCUCCCGAGUAGCUGGGACUACAGGCAUGCACCACUACGCCUGGCUAAUUUUUGUAUUUUUUUGUAGAGAUGGGUUUUGCCAGGUUGCCCAGGCUGAUCUUGAACUCCUGGGCUCAAGCGAUCUCUGCCUGCCUAGGCCUCCCAAAGUGCUGGGAUUUCAGGCGUGAGCCACCAUGCUCAGCUGAGACUGUUUCUAAGACAGUCUCACUCUGUUGCCCAGGCUGGAGUGCAGUGGCGGGAUCUUGGCUCACUGCAACCUCUGCCUCCUGGGUUCAAGUGAUUUUCCUGCCUCAGCCUCCUGAGUAGCUGGGACUACACGUGCCCACCACCACGCCCAGCGAAUUUUUGUAUUUUUAGUAGAGACGGGGUUUCGCCAUGUUAGCCAGGCUGGUCUUCAACUCUCGACCUCAAGUGAUCCACCUGCCUCGGCCUCCCAAAGUGUUAGGAUUACAGGUGUGAGCCACCAUGUCUGGCCUCACACAGAAUUUUAAAAACACAUUUUAAAAGUGUAUUCAAGGGUUGACAUGCAAUAGAAUUAGCAAUUUUUACUGCUUUAUCAAGGACAUUCCUAAGUGAAACUGGCUCUCUUCUUGUUACUGUGGGCUUGUAGGGGUGAAGAAUACAGUGAUUACUAAUAGAAUUAGGUGCCACCACUUUGAUUCAUGCUAAGGAGCCAGCAGCUUUGUCCUCUGUUGUUUUUGUACCAUUUAACGCAAAUGUCACAGGGGAAUGUUAAAAGAUAAAGUCUUACUAUCAUUAUGAAAAUUCUUGGCCGGGCGCGGUAGCUCACGCGUAAUCCUAGCACUCUGGGAGGCCGAGGCGGGUGGAUCAUGAGGUCAGGAGAUUGAGACGAUCCUGGCCAACACGGUGAAAACCCAUCUCUACUAAAAAUACAGAAAAUUAGGCGAGCAUGGUGGCAGGCGCCUGUAGUCCCAGCUACUCAGGAGGCUGAGGCAGGAGAAU